UCUUUUUUAAAAUUGGGCAAUUACUUUGUUACUUUAGCAAACCUAACCCACUUCUUUCUUAUCCUACCCGCCUGCCGCCUCCUAUUUCAUCUUCCUCAAGCUGUAUUGCUCAACUUGCAUAUACAUACUCCAUUUUCAUUUGAUUUUAGCAAUAGAAAAACACAAUUUUAAUUUAUUGGAUAUAUCGAAAAUUUGUAUUGAUUAUUUAUUCUCCUCUAGUAUUAAUUUCUCUAUCUAUCAAUUGAAUUUUGUCGGCGUUCUACAAUCUAAUUGUAGAACUUAUUCAUUUAUACGAUUAUCUUCAUGUGUUUGUUAAGGAUUUUAUGGCUAUUUACGGUAGAUACGAUUAAAUCUCGAUAAUUUAUCCCGUCAGCGGUGAUAGUGGUGUCGGCGUUGUGGCAGAGCUCGGAAAUUGCUGACUCCGUCGUUACCUUCUCCGCCCUGGUUUUCCGUUGAAACAAUUUUCGAGUUCUCCAUUGAAGUGUUGUCAUGCUCUUAAUUGACGGGCUUCUCUCCUCUAGUAUUUGCAGCUCACAGAACUUGGGUUUCAAUGAAGAAUGCAAAUUUUGGUUGCUUAGCUUCAGAAAAAUAGUCUUCAAAGUUAUAUGAAGAAAGCAAAGAACAAAAAUUCGGCCUUUGAUGUACGAAGUAUAAUUUUCCGAGGUUAGUCAAGCACAAGACUAGAUUAUGUCAGAUUAAUAAUCAUGGCUUUUAUCAAGGUUGAGCAAAACUUUUGUCAAGUACAAUACUUUGUAUAUUACAAAGUAAUGAAAUUAUUUUUCUGGGUUUAA
Long non-coding RNA from Chenopodium quinoa (quinoa), 791 nucleotides. RefSeq lists it as uncharacterized. The transcript is spliced from 2 exons. Lineage: Eukaryota; Viridiplantae; Streptophyta; Magnoliopsida; Caryophyllales; Amaranthaceae. The record is from RefSeq and is a predicted model, not a curated record.